Molecule: ribosomal RNA, 800 nt
Filed under: uncultured bacterium
Lineage: Bacteria
Description: bacterial SSU rRNA
Rfam family: Bacterial small subunit ribosomal RNA
Source: RNAcentral
AGAGUUUGAUCCUGGCUCAGAACGAACGCUGGCGGCGUGCCUAACACAUGCAAGUCGAACGCGAAAGGGGGCAACCCCCGGUAGCGUGGCAGACGGGUGAGUAACACGUGGGUAACCUACCCGGAGGUGGGGGAUAACCCUUCGAAAGGAGGGCUAAUACCGCAUGACAUCGCGAGGACCUCGGUCCUUGCGAUCAAAGCUGGCCUCUGUUUACAAGCUAGCGCCACUGGAGGGGCCCGCGCCCCAUUAGCUAGUUGGUGAGGUAACGGCUCACCAAGGCGACGAUGGGUAGCCGGCCUGAGAGGGCGACCGGCCACACUGGAACUGCGACACGGUCCAGACUCCUACGGGAGGCAGCAGUGAGGAAUCUUGCGCAAUGGGCGAAAGCCUGACGCAGCGACGCCGCGUGAAGGAUGAAGGUCUUCGGAUUGUAAACUUCUGUCGAGUGGGACGAAUGCCAUGAGGGCGAAUAACCCUCGUGGUUGACGGUACCGCUGGAGGAAGCCCCGGCUAACUCCGUGCCAGCAGCCGCGGUAAUACGGAGGGGGCCAGCGUUGUUCGGAAUCAUUGGGCGUAAAGGGCGCGUAGGCGGCCGAUCAAGUCGGAGGUGAAAUCCCUCGGCUCAACUGAGGAACUGCCUCCGAUACUGUUCGGCUUGAGUCCUGGAGAGGGUAGUGGAAUUCCGAGUGUAGCGGUGAAAUGCGUAGAGACUCGGAAGAACACCAGUGGCGAAGGCGGCUACCUGGACAGGUACUGACGCUGAAGCGCGAAAGCUAGGGGAGCAAACAGGAUUAGAUACC